This is a non-coding RNA of Chrysemys picta bellii (western painted turtle), 720 nucleotides long. NCBI's taxonomy places the organism in Eukaryota, Metazoa, Chordata, Testudines, Emydidae. The record is from RefSeq and is a predicted model, not a curated record.
AGGAAAUUGGGUUAAAAAACAAAAUUUGUUAUCUUGACUAGCAAUCUGGAAUUUUGGGUCAAUUACUUGUCACCUUAAAGGGUGAUGCCUGGGCUUAUUUGUAGCCACUAACAGUAAUUGCUCUGCUUAUUACUACUCUGGUUGCUUAUUACAGAGUAGGUGCUGAUGCUAGUAUAUAUAUAUUUUUUCUCCCCAUUGGGUAACUGUUUCUUGCUGUGUAUAUGCUUGAGAACAUAUCUUGGCCGAAGUCUUAGCUCUCUGAAUGCCCAGAUAAAAGCAUUGUACAGAAGAAGAAUAAACUCUAGAUUGAUCUGAAGUGAACUGAUCUCAAAUGCACAGGUAGAUUCACUGAUCCUUCCACCUACCCCUGUCCAAGCAUCUGUUGUUUCAUCGUGCAUCUCCCUCCUGAGCAGGCAUGCAGAUGGGGCAGAUCCUUCACCACAGAUCGGACUUCUUUGGGAACUCUGGAGGAUUGAAACCAUGAUACCCGACACAUGACUAUAAAUGUUGCCAUCAAGCAGGAGGCUGUAUCUACUGCAUCUACUGAGGCCUGGAUGGACGAUCAAGCAAGCAAUUUAACCUCCUUGAUGAGCACUUUGAACUGCAGGCUAUCCUCCUGUGAGUUCUGCUAAUUUAGUAUAAUUAAUAAAAGCAUUCUUUGACAUUACUGCUUGAUAGUUUGCUAUGCAGAACUGUAAGCUGGUUGAAAUAAAAAUCUUU